This is a small RNA of Hafnia alvei FB1, 77 nucleotides long. It matches the Rfam family "tpke11". Rfam says of the family: In Yersinia located in ICR upstream dnaJ (chaperone)gene. Has temperature responsive RNA structure. Lineage: Bacteria; Pseudomonadati; Pseudomonadota; Gammaproteobacteria; Enterobacterales; Hafniaceae. The record is from Rfam.
CGUCGUUACUAUUAACCGGCACGGGCGUCGAGGAAACUCAACGCCCGUGCAGUUAUGUUAAGGGCAGGAUAGAGAAU